This 619-nucleotide ribosomal RNA is filed under the name uncultured marine eukaryote. Its description in RNAcentral is "SSU rRNA". It matches the Rfam family "Eukaryotic small subunit ribosomal RNA", at positions 617 to 1240 of the family's 1831-position model. The record is from RNAcentral.
GGUUAAAAAGCUCGUAGUUGGAUCUCUGUCGAGGGCGGGCGGUCCGCACUAUGUGCGUGUAUCUUGUUCGGUCUUGGCAUCCUCUUGGGGAAUGCUUCUGUGCUUGAUUGCAUGGGGUGGAAUUCAAGACUUUUACUUUGAGGAAAUUAGAGUGUUCACGGCAAGCUACCGCUUUGAAUACAUUAGCAUGGAAUAAUAAUAUAGGGCGUAAGUUCUAUUUUGUUGGUUUCUAGGACAUACGCAAUGAUUAAUAGGGACAAUUGGGGGCAUUCGUAUUAACGCGUCAGAGGUGGAAUUCUUAGAUUGCGUUACGACGAACUACUGCGAAAGCAUUUGCCAAAGAUGUUUUCAUUGAUCAAGAACGAAAGUAUGGGGAUCGAAGACGAUUAGAUACCGUCGUAGUCUAUACCAUAAACUAUGCCAAUUAGAGAUUGGGCGUCGUUCGUUUUAUGACUCGCUCAGCACCUUAUGAGAAAUCAAAAUUUUUGGGUUCCGGGGGGAGUAUGGUCGCAAGUCUGAAACUUAAAGGAAUUGACGGAAGGGCACCACCAGGAGUGGAGCCUGCGGCUUAAUUUGACUCAACACGGGAAAACUUACCAGGUCCAGACAUAGUAAGGAU